Molecule: small nuclear RNA, 103 nt
Organism: Cavia aperea (Brazilian guinea pig)
Lineage: Eukaryota; Metazoa; Chordata; Mammalia; Rodentia; Caviidae
Source: Ensembl
AUGCUACCUUCACAGCACAUAUACUAAAACUGGAACGAUACACAGAUUAACAUGGUACCUGAGCAAGGACAAAAUACAAAUUCAUGGAGCAUUCCGUAUUUUA